UACGGAGGAUGCGAGCGUUAUCCGGAUUUAUUGGGUUUAAAGGGUGCGUAGGCGGUAUGGUAAGUCAGCGGUAAAAGCCCGGGGCUCAACCCCGGCGAGCCGUUGAAACUGCCGUGCUAGAGAGGAAGAGAAGUAGGCGGAAUGCGCAGUGUAGCGGUGAAAUGCUUAGAGAUCAUACAGAACACCGAUUGCGAAGGCAGCUUACCAAGCUACUUCUGACGUUGAGGCACGAAAGCGUGGGGAGCAAACAGG
RNAcentral lists this ribosomal RNA (252 nucleotides) under uncultured Bacteroidales bacterium. Its description in RNAcentral is "partial 16S ribosomal RNA". It matches the Rfam family "Bacterial small subunit ribosomal RNA", at positions 524 to 776 of the family's 1533-position model. Lineage: Bacteria; Pseudomonadati; Bacteroidota; Bacteroidia; Bacteroidales. The record is from RNAcentral.